RNAcentral lists this long non-coding RNA (1217 nucleotides) under Varanus komodoensis (Komodo dragon). RNAcentral's name for it is "lncRNA (ENSVKKG00000005154.1)". The record is from RNAcentral. Lineage: Eukaryota; Metazoa; Chordata; Lepidosauria; Squamata; Varanidae.
AUCAGUACUUGUGGAUGCAAAUGCCGUGUAGUAAAUGUAUAUACUGUGAGACAUAUCCUGUCGAAAUGCUUCGCUUUGAGUCCCAUUGAUUUAAUUUGGAUAGUUAGGCGCAAGUCUAAAACUCUCACUUCAAAAUUCUAAGGAUUUAACACUGACUGGAUUGUGUCAUGUCAGGAGGUGGAUGUAGUUGUUGACUAAUUGUGGCAGAUACCAGUUAAGAGUUAUAAGGGUCUGAGGAGGAGCGUACAAUGAAAGAUGCAGCAGAAAUAUUUGCUAACACCUUGUACUUUGCUGUUCUCACAAGCUAAAGAAUGCCCUGGUCAUUUAUAAAGUGUGUGGAGACAUUUUCUUUUUAGACUGCAUAUGCUCUUUUGGAGGACCGUGCUGUAAGAGCAUGGCAGGAAGGGAGAGCCAGCUUGGCCUGCUGAGGCACCAGAUAUGUGUUUUCCUCUUUUUGAAUUUUUAUUUGGCACUAUGAGAGAGUGCUCACACUUUCUCAAAUAAAAUCUACAGUUUUAACCAUUUAAUCCUGUGCACGUAAUAAUUCCCUGUGGCAUUUGUGUAAGUCUCAUAGGUCCGCUUCAUGUGGUUUCUGUAUGAAUGUUGAAGUACCCUUUUCAUCUGUGUUCCUGCUGAAGGGUCAGUGCCCAAGCAAUUUAUUAUUCUUUUAUUUAAUUCAUUUAUAUACUGCCUGAUGGCUGAGGCUCUCUGGGCAGUUAUAGUUGUCUGUACAGUAUUUACUGCAAUGUUCUUCAUUAAUUGCAUUUUGACUUCAAUCUACCUCUUUUUGGUGAGCCCUGUACACUGUCGUUCUUCCUUCCAAAGCAUAUUUGCAAUAUUUUGUGUUGUAUGUUUACUUCCUUCACUUUUUCCCCCUCACAGUUUCGUUUAAGUGAAUUUGGAACACUGGAACUCAUUACAGAAGUUGAAGCAAAAGCUGCAAAAGCUUUCUCUGCCUCAGUAAAUACCAAUUCAUCUGUCCUUAACUUGUCUACUGCUCCCAAUACCAAAACUACCUGUGAUUACAAAGAGGUCAGAGGCAGCAUUCCCAAAUCUGAGCUCCAAACCAGUGAAAAUAGCAGGCACCCUGGGCAGAUGGACAGCUUUGAGAAUUCUCACCAGGACUGUAAAGAGAGGUGGUGACUUGUUUGAUCUAUAUUUCAUAUACCAUAUUAGCAUCUUUCAAAUAGGCUCCCAGAGCACAAAUAGAAUAUGGA